This 576-nucleotide ribosomal RNA is filed under the name Hansenula anomala. Its description in RNAcentral is "Wickerhamomyces anomalus partial 26S ribosomal RNA". It matches the Rfam family "Eukaryotic large subunit ribosomal RNA", at positions 62 to 651 of the family's 3401-position model. The record is from RNAcentral. Lineage: Eukaryota; Fungi; Ascomycota; Saccharomycetes; Phaffomycetales; Wickerhamomycetaceae.
AAACCAACAGGGAUUGCCUCAGUAACGGCGAGUGAAGCGGCAAAAGCUCAAAUUUGAAAUCUAGCACCUUCGGUGUUCGAGUUGUAAUUUGAAGAUGGUAACCUUGGGUUUGGCUCUUGUCUAUGUUCCUUGGAACAGGACGUCAUAGAGGGUGAGAAUCCCGUCUGAUGAGAUGCCCAUUCCUAUGUAAGGUGCUAUCGAAGAGUCGAGUUGUUUGGGAAUGCAGCUCUAAGUGGGUGGUAAAUUCCAUCUAAAGCUAAAUAUUGGCGAGAGACCGAUAGCGAACAAGUACAGUGAUGGAAAGAUGAAAAGAACUUUGAAAAGAGAGUGAAAAAGUACGUGAAAUUGUUGAAAGGGAAGGGCAUUAGAUCAGACUUGGUGUUUUACGAUUAUCUUCUCUUCUUGAGUUGUGCACUCGUAUUUCACUGGGCCAGCAUCGAUUCGGAUGGCAAGAUAAUGGCAGUUGAAUGUGGCUUCACUUCGGUGGAGUGUUAUAGCUUCUGCUGAUAUUGCCUGUCUGGAUCGAGGGCUGCGUCUUUUGACUAGGAUGCUGGCGUAAUGAUCUAAUGCCGCCCG